CGUUGACGUCAUCAUCACUGCGCCGGUUGUUUCUUGUGUUUGGAGAUCUACACGAUAAAUCUUUUGUUUUUAAAACUGUAUGCGCAGUUUGGGACUAAAUGUGACAUUUCAUAGGGCUUUUAAACUGCUUGACCAUGCUUUGAGACGUUUAAACAUGGUCACAAAAGCUCACACUUAAGACUUAGAUGACAGGCAUUCAACAAGACAUUAUAAAUUUAAAUGAUUUUAACAGAUGCUUUAGGAGAGAGAGAAAAACAACUACCAGUCAGAAGCCAACUCAAUCAGAUUUUGCCAUCUACAGGUCCCCACUCUGCUCCUAGACAUUAAACCUGGCUGAAGAAAACAAACACGGCAACAACCAAAGUGCACAGCCACCUGAUAUGACGCUUGCUGUUUGACCCUGAUGUGAAUUGUUUAGUUUGUAUGUUUUCAUAUCUGAACAUUUACACUUGGUUUUUCCUUCAAAUAAACAUAACUAAUGAUUUAAA
This is a long non-coding RNA of Erpetoichthys calabaricus (reedfish), 488 nucleotides long. RefSeq lists it as uncharacterized. Lineage: Eukaryota; Metazoa; Chordata; Cladistia; Polypteriformes; Polypteridae. The transcript has 2 exons. The record is from RefSeq and is a predicted model, not a curated record.